RNA transcript from Grammomys surdaster, 542 nucleotides. It is a transcript of the gene named LYR motif-containing protein 1 pseudogene, with no coding region annotated. The transcript has a single exon. The record is from RefSeq and is a predicted model, not a curated record. Lineage: Eukaryota; Metazoa; Chordata; Mammalia; Rodentia; Muridae.
AUGACAGCAGCAACCCGAAAAGAAGUCCCAUGCCUCUACCGAAGCAUUUUCAGGCUUGCACGGAAAUGGCAGGCAGUAUCAGGGCAGAUGGAAGACACCAUCAAAGAAUAACAGUACAUACUAAAUGAAGCCAUAACACUGUUCCAGAAAAACAAAAAUCUCACAGACCCAGACCUGAUUAAGCAAUGUAUAGUUGAAUGCACAGCCAGGAUUGAGAUUGGACUGCAUUUCCAGAUUCCUUAUCCAAGACCUAUCCAUCUGCCUCCAAUGGGUCUCACCCCACGACGAGGCUGGGGACUUCAAACCCAUGAGAAACUGAGAAAACUUUCCAAACCAGUGUAUCUGAAGUCUCAUGAUGAAGUUUCCUAACAAAGAGGACAGUUUACUUUUGAGGGAGGUGAGCCAACUCGGUUUUGAAUGUAAACCAAGCAAUAUAACCUUCUUGAUUAGAAGAAAAAAUUACCUUCAGACCUCCAAAAUUGGUCUUCACCUAUAACAUGUGGCCGCAGGCAUCCCUAGAGUUUUUUAGGGUCUUAUUUGCU